RNAcentral lists this long non-coding RNA (330 nucleotides) under Cyanistes caeruleus (blue tit). Its description in RNAcentral is "lncRNA (ENSCCEG00000019166.1)". Lineage: Eukaryota; Metazoa; Chordata; Aves; Passeriformes; Paridae. The record is from RNAcentral.
CACAAGGCUGUAUGUACACAGGCUGAGGGCUGCACUUAGCAAGUGUCCAGAUCUGUUGAUGUACCAUUGCUGUACAUCCAGCUGGACUCCUCAGAUGACUAAAUAAAGUCAGAAGAAAGGUUUAAAAUUACUCCUGCCAUCCAGAGGUGUGAACUUGCUAAGAAGAUACAGACUCUGCUGCCUGCAGUGGAACAGGGCUGCAAGUUAGGUGAGAAUGGCCUGAAGCAAUCUGUGUGACUUCAACUUGCAUUUCUAUCCAGGGAGGUGGGGUAGUCUCCUUUCAUGUUACUUUCAUAAUGAGAUUAGAGGGGAUGCAAGGUGUUAAUUAAC